RNAcentral lists this ribosomal RNA (404 nucleotides) under uncultured bacterium. RNAcentral's name for it is "bacterial SSU rRNA". It matches the Rfam family "Bacterial small subunit ribosomal RNA", at positions 362 to 758 of the family's 1533-position model. The record is from RNAcentral.
UCUUCCGCAAUGGACGAAAGUCUGACGGAGCAACGCCGCGUGAGUGAAGAAGGUUUUCGGAUCGUAAAACUCUGUUGUUAGAGAAGAACAAGUGCUAGAGUAACUGCUAGCAUCGUGACGGUAUCUAACCAGAAAGCCACGGCUAACUACGUGCCAGCAGCCGCGGUAAUACGUAGGUGGCAAGCGUUGUCCGGAUUUAUUGGGCGUAAAGCGAGCGCAGGCGGUUUCUUAAGUCUGAUGUGAAAGCCCACGGCUCAACCGUGGAGGGUCAUUGGAAACUGGGGAACUUGAGUGCAGAAGAGGAGAGUGGAAUUCCAUGUGUAGCGGUGAAAUGCGUAGAUAUAUGAGAGGAACACCAGUGGCGAAGGCGACUCUCUGGUCUAUAACUGACGCUGAGCACGAAA